AUUGAACGCUGGCGGCAUGCUUUACACAUGCAAGUCGAACGGCAGCGCGGGGCAACCUGGCGGCGAGUGGCGAACGGGUGAGUAAUAUAUCGGAACGUACCCAGAAGUGGGGGAUAACGUAGCGAAAGUUACGCUAAUACCGCAUACGAUCUACGGAUGAAAGUAGGGGACCGCAAGGCCUUAUGCUUUUGGAGCGGCCGAUAUCUGAUUAGCUAGUUGGCGAGGUAAAGGCUCACCAAGGCGACGAUCAGUAGCUGGUCUGAGAGGACGACCAGCCACACUGGAACUGAGACACGGUCCAGACACCUACGGGAGGCAGCAGUGGGGAAUUUUGGACAAUGGGCGCAAGCCUGAUCCAGCAAUGCCGCGUGAGUGAAGAAGGCCUUCGGGUUGUAAAGCUCUUUUGUCAGGGAAGAAACGGUAGAGGCUAAUAUCCUUUGCUAAUGACGGUACCUGAAGAAUAAGCACCGGCUAACUACGUG
Molecule: ribosomal RNA, 482 nt
Filed under: uncultured bacterium
Lineage: Bacteria
Description: partial 16S ribosomal RNA
Rfam family: Bacterial small subunit ribosomal RNA
Source: RNAcentral